Molecule: long non-coding RNA, 436 nt
Filed under: Manihot esculenta (cassava)
Lineage: Eukaryota; Viridiplantae; Streptophyta; Magnoliopsida; Malpighiales; Euphorbiaceae
Description: long non-coding RNA (MESC_LNC008403)
Source: RNAcentral
AGGGCUGAAGACUCAGCCCAAGACUUGGCUUCUGGCUUGUAAAUUUCUUCAAUUUCAUAUGGGCCUUCUCACCUGUAGGCUUUUUCCGAGCUGGAUUUACCGUAAGGAUAAGACUCUGAGCUGUGCUCCUUUACGGGUUUUGACCCCAUUAGGUCCUCAGCCUGAGCUCGGUUUUUAACAGUUGACCAGUCGUCCUCAGUUUUCUUUUCAUUACUUCAUGCAUAUGAUCUCAGGCGUAUAGCCUUUGUAUAAUCAAAGUAAAAUGGAUCAUGUACCUUUUAAGGGGAUAAACAGGGCUGGCCUUCUUAGUUUUAGCUCUGUUCCGACAGGAUUUGAGGCUGAGGCCUUAUCUUCUCACGCCAUUGGACCUUUUCUUAGCUUAUAGGAGGUGUGUUUUCUUCAGUUUGAUUUUUGAGCUUUAUGAGCUCGGCUUUCU